This 717-nucleotide ribosomal RNA is filed under the name Cellulosimicrobium funkei. RNAcentral describes it as "bacterial SSU rRNA". It matches the Rfam family "Bacterial small subunit ribosomal RNA", at positions 70 to 801 of the family's 1533-position model. Lineage: Bacteria; Bacillati; Actinomycetota; Actinomycetes; Micrococcales; Promicromonosporaceae. The record is from RNAcentral.
GAUGCCCAGCUUGCUGGGCGGAUUAGUGGCGAACGGGUGAGUAACACGUGAGUAACCUGCCCUUGACUUCGGGAUAACUCCGGGAAACCGGGGCUAAUACCGGAUAUGAGCCGUCCUCGCAUGGGGGUGGUUGGAAAGUUUUUCGGUCAGGGAUGGGCUCGCGGCCUAUCAGCUUGUUGGUGGGGUGAUGGCCUACCAAGGCGACGACGGGUAGCCGGCCUGAGAGGGCGACCGGCCACACUGGGACUGAGACACGGCCCAGACUCCUACGGGAGGCAGCAGUGGGGAAUAUUGCACAAUGGGCGAAAGCCUGAUGCAGCGACGCCGCGUGAGGGAUGAAGGCCUUCGGGUUGUAAACCUCUUUCAGCAGGGAAGAAGCGCAAGUGACGGUACCUGCAGAAGAAGCGCCGGCUAACUACGUGCCAGCAGCCGCGGUAAUACGUAGGGCGCAAGCGUUGUCCGGAAUUAUUGGGCGUAAAGAGCUCGUAGGCGGUUUGUCGCGUCUGGUGUGAAAACUCGAGGCUCAACCUCGAGCUUGCAUCGGGUACGGGCAGACUAGAGUGCGGUAGGGGAGACUGGAAUUCCUGGUGUACCGGUGGAAUGCGCAGAUAUCACGAGGAACACCGAUAGCGCAGGCAGGUCUCUGGGCCGCCACCUGACGCUGAUGAGCGAAAGCAUGCGGAAGCGAACAGGAUUAAUACGCUGAUAGUCCAUGGC